RNAcentral lists this ribosomal RNA (232 nucleotides) under uncultured bacterium. RNAcentral's name for it is "partial 16S ribosomal RNA". It matches the Rfam family "Bacterial small subunit ribosomal RNA", at positions 99 to 334 of the family's 1533-position model. The record is from RNAcentral.
CGGACGGGUGAGUAAUGUCUGGGAAACUGCCUGAUGGAGGGGGAUAACUACUGGAAACGGUAGCUAAUACCGCAUAACGUCGCAAGACCAAAGAGGGGGACCUUCGGGCCUCUUGCCAUCGGAUGUGCCCAGAUGGGAUUAGCUAGUAGGUGGGGUAACGGCUCACCUAGGCGACGAUCCCUAGCUGGUCGGAGAGGAUGACCAGCCACACUGGAACUGAGACACGGUCCAG